CCGCGCCCUUCAGAAGUUGGUUCUUGCUCCACUACAGGGAAAGGAGAUAGCUGACAAUUUUUAAGAGCAGACCUCCAAGCCAUGUAACAGCCAUGAAAGGUCCAUGCUGCAAGGAAACUUCAAAGGAAAGGGAUAAAAAUAACAACCAGGCCUACACUACAGAAACAGAAACAAGCAG
This is a long non-coding RNA of Carcharodon carcharias (great white shark), 178 nucleotides long. RefSeq lists it as uncharacterized. The transcript has 4 exons. The record is from RefSeq and is a predicted model, not a curated record. NCBI's taxonomy places the organism in Eukaryota, Metazoa, Chordata, Chondrichthyes, Lamniformes, Lamnidae.